CAAUAUUAUCAGUUGUUCGAAGACUCUGAAUCCCUUGUUAGAAGACAUUAGAAAGUAGAAACUAGAAACUUGAAAAUAACUUUGUAGACUGAACCAGUAGACUGGCCAGUCUAACUAUUGAACUGACCGGUUCACCAGUUCUUUGUUGAUUCAAGUACCUAUCAUUUAUUGAAUCGGAUCAGAAUAGGCACUGGUUCACUGGUUGAACCGGCUGUUCAGGUCCGGUUCUAACACCACUGCUCCAUAUACUUUUUCUUAAUCAAGCUAAUUUUAAAAUGUUUAAAUUAUAGAGCAUCCCUCCAAAGUUCUAACUUUGUGUUGAUGUCUCUAGUUUCAUCAAUCAAAACUGUGAUCCACAAACAACAAACACCAUGGUACCUCAUGUUGUAGAUGACUCUAGUGAACUCAUCCAUAAUAAAAACAAAGAGAUAUGGGCUCAACGUUGAAUCCUGAUAUAGG
RNAcentral lists this long non-coding RNA (459 nucleotides) under Amborella trichopoda. RNAcentral describes it as "long non-coding RNA (ATRI_LNC002579)". The record is from RNAcentral. Lineage: Eukaryota; Viridiplantae; Streptophyta; Magnoliopsida; Amborellales; Amborellaceae.